AGAGCGAACGCUGGCGGCAGGCCUAACACAUGCAAGUCGAGCGCCCCGCAAGGGGAGCGGCAGACGGGAGAGUAACACGUGGGAACGUGUCCUUUGGUUCGGAACAACACAGGGAAACUUGUGCUAAAUACCGGAUAAGUCCGUAAGGAGAAAGAUUUAUCGCCAAAGGAUCGGCCCGCGUCUGAUUAGCUAGUUGGUGAGGUAACGGCUCACCAAGGCGACGAUCAGUAGCUGGUCUGAGAGGAUGAUCAGCCUCACUGGGACUGAGACACGGCCCAGACUCCUACGGGAGGCAGCAGUGGGGAAUAUUGGACAAUGGGCGCAAGCCUGAUCCAGCCAUGCCGCGUGGAUGAUGAAGGCCCUAGGGUUGUAAACCCCUUUCAGCAGGGACGAAGCGAAAGUGACGGUACCUGCAGAAGAAGCGCCGGCUAACUACGUGCCAGCAGCCGC
Molecule: ribosomal RNA, 450 nt
Filed under: uncultured bacterium
Lineage: Bacteria
Description: SSU rRNA
Rfam family: Bacterial small subunit ribosomal RNA
Source: RNAcentral